Molecule: ribosomal RNA, 889 nt
Filed under: uncultured bacterium
Lineage: Bacteria
Description: bacterial SSU rRNA
Rfam family: Bacterial small subunit ribosomal RNA
Source: RNAcentral
AGAAUUCGCCCUUAGAGUUUGAUCCUGGCUCAGGAUGAACGCUGGCGGUAUGCUUUACACAUGCAAGUCGUACGAGAGUUUUUAACUCAAGUGGCGGACGGGUGAGUAACACGUAAGAAUUUGCCUUUAGGAGGGGGAUAACAACUGGAAACGGUUGCUAAUACCCCAUAUGCUUUCGAGUAAAAUGGAUUUUCCGCCUAAAGAGAAGCUUGCGGCUGAUUAGCUUGUUGGUGAGGUAAUGGCUCACCAAGGCGACGAUCAGUAUCUGGUUUGAGAGGACGAUCAGACACACUGGAACUGAGACACGGUCCAGACUCCUACGGGAGGCAGCAGUGGGGAAUUUUCCGCAAUGGGCGAAAGCCUGACGGAGCAAUACCGCGUGAGGGAUGACGGCCUAUGGGUUGUAAACCUCUUUUUUCAGGGAGGAAUCAAUGACGUGUACCUGAAGAAUAAGCAUCGGCUAACUCCGUGCCAGCAGCCGCGGUAAGACGGAGGAUGCAAGUGUUAUCCGGAAUCACUGGGCGUAAAGCGUCUGUAGGUGGUCAAAUAAGUCAACUGUUAAAUCUUGAGGCUCAACCUCAAAAUCGCAGUCGAAACUAUUCGACUAGAGUAUAGUAGGGGUAAAGGGAAUUUCCAGUGGAGCAGUGAAAUGCGUAGAGAUUGGAAAGAACACCGAUGGCGAAGGCACUUUACUGGGCUAUUACUAACACUGAGAGACGAAAGCUAGGGUAGCAAAUGGGAUUAGAUACCCCAGUAGUCCUAGCCGUAAACAAUGGAUACUAGAUGUUGAACAGAUCGACCUGUGCAGUAUCAAAGCUAACGCGUUAAGUAUCCCGCCUGGGAAGUAUGCUCGCAAGAGUGAAACUCAAAUGAAUUGACGGGGAAGGGC